UAUAAUCUUAUGUAAGGAAGAGUAUGCUUGGGAGUAAGUUUACAGAGAGUUCUUGUUUGGUGAAAAAGAACAACGGAAAGCAAGUUGAAGAUGGUCUUUACCUGAGUCGGAUUGAGGGCGAUGCAUUAGAUUCGAACGGGAGUGCCCGUUACAGCACCAAGGUAUGAUAGUACCUGUUGAGGUCAUUAUUGUGAGAUGAUGAUAAAAAAAGGUGGUAACGCGGGAUAUUGCUCUCGUCCUUUUA
RNAcentral lists this non-coding RNA (244 nucleotides) under Filifactor alocis. RNAcentral describes it as "T-box sequence". It matches the Rfam family "T-box leader". From Rfam's summary of the family: Uncharged tRNA acts as the effector for transcription antitermination of genes in the T-box leader family. T-boxes are found upstream of many aminoacyl-tRNA synthetase genes and some amino acid biosynthetic genes usually in Gram-positive bacteria. The anticodon of a specific tRNA base pairs to a specifier sequence within the T-box motif, and the NCCA acceptor tail of the tRNA base pairs to a conserved bulge in the T-box antiterminator hairpin. The record is from RNAcentral. Lineage: Bacteria; Bacillati; Bacillota; Clostridia; Peptostreptococcales; Filifactoraceae.